UACGUAGGGUGCAAGCGUUGUCCGGAAUUAUUGGGCGUAAAGAGCUCGUAGGCGGUUUGUCGCGUCGAAUGUGAAAACCCGGGGCUCAACCCCGGGCCUGCAUUCGAUACGGGCAGACUAGAGUUCGGUAGGGGAGUCUGGAAUUCCUGGUGUAGCGGUGAAAUGCGCAGAUAUCAGGAGGAACACCGGUGGCUAAGGCGGGUCUCUGGGCCGAUACUGACGCUGAGGAGCGAAAGCGUGGGGAGCGAACAGG
Molecule: ribosomal RNA, 253 nt
Filed under: uncultured bacterium
Lineage: Bacteria
Description: partial 16S ribosomal RNA
Rfam family: Bacterial small subunit ribosomal RNA
Source: RNAcentral